UGGGGAAUAUUGGACAAUGGGGGCAACCCUGAUCCAGCCAUGCCGCGUGAGUGAUGAAGGCCUUAGGGUUGUAAAGUCCUUUCACCGGUGAAGAUAAUGACGGUAGCCGGAGAAGAAGCCCCGGCUAAGUCCGUGCCAGCAGCCGCGGUAAUACGGAGGGGGCUAGCGUUGUUCGGAAAUACUGGGCGUAAAGCGCGCGUAGGCGGGCUGUUAAGUCGGGGGUGAAAUCCCGGGGCUCAACCCCGGAACUGCCUUCGAUACUGGCAGCCUAGAGGACGGUAGAGGCUAGUGGAAUGGCGAGUGUAGAGGUGAAAUUCGUAGAUAUUCGCCGGAACACCAGUGGCGAAGGCGACUGGCUGGACCGUAUCUGACGCUGAGGUGCGAAAGCGUGGGGAGCAAACAGGAUUAGAUACCCCUGUAGUCC
Molecule: ribosomal RNA, 424 nt
Filed under: uncultured prokaryote
Description: bacterial SSU rRNA
Rfam family: Bacterial small subunit ribosomal RNA
Source: RNAcentral